UAGGGAAUAUUAGAAAUGGACGAAAGUCUGAUCUAGCAACACCGCGUGUGCGAAGAAGGCCUUCGGGUCGUAAAGCACUUUUUGGAAGGAAUAGGAAGGAAUGUACUUCCAGAAUAAGUCUCGGCUAACUACGUGCCAGCAGCCGCGGUAACACGUAGGAGGCAAACGUUAUCCGGAUUUACUGGCGUAAAGCGCGUGUAGGUGGUACUGUAAGUAGGGCGUGAAAGCUCUUGGCUCAACUGGGAGAGGCCGUUCUAAACUACAGAACUAGAGGAUGGUAGAGGGAGGUGGAAUUCCAGGUGUAGCGGUGGAAUGCGCAGAUAUCUGGAGGAACACCGGUGGUGAAGGCGGCCUCCUGGACCAUUCCUGACACUCAGACGCGAAAGCUAGGGUAGCAAACGG
Molecule: ribosomal RNA, 402 nt
Filed under: uncultured bacterium
Lineage: Bacteria
Description: bacterial SSU rRNA
Rfam family: Bacterial small subunit ribosomal RNA
Source: RNAcentral